UUAUCCUUUCUCCCAAACAAUGAUGGGAGAUAAGACAAUAGAAUUGGAUACUGCUAGCUGCUACCUUUCCCGAUCAAUGGCAGAGUUCAAUUUUCAUUGGAGUUUGUUGAACUUUGGUUGGCCUAAAUAGAUGCAUGUCUAAUCAACAGAGGAAUACUCGAUUAGGACUACUGCCCCAGGUUUCUUCAACCAGAACACUCCAAGGCGUAAAUGUUCAAAGGUGUUUUGAAUCGCAGAGAGAAAUGAGGUAUGCCCAUGCUUCAUAAGCCAAAACUUCCCCAAUCAGACAAACUAUGCUUCUCUCAUUAAAAAUGGUGAACACUUGUUUGUACAAGAAAGAUGGAGCUGGGAAAC
Mangifera indica (mango) is the source of this 354-nucleotide long non-coding RNA. RefSeq lists it as uncharacterized. The record is from RefSeq and is a predicted model, not a curated record. NCBI's taxonomy places the organism in Eukaryota, Viridiplantae, Streptophyta, Magnoliopsida, Sapindales, Anacardiaceae. The transcript has 3 exons.